UACGGAGGGAGCUAGCGUUGUUCGGAAUUACUGGGCGUAAAGCGCACGUAGGCGGCUUUGUAAGUUAGAGGUGAAAGCCUGGAGCUCAACUCCAGAAUUGCCUUUGAUACUGCAUGGCUUGAAUCCAGGAGAGGUGAGUGGAAUUCCGAGUGUAGAGGUGAAAUUCGUAGAUAUUCGGAAGAAACACCAGUGGCGAAGGCGGCUCACUGGACUGGUAUUGACGCUGAGGUGGCGAAAGCGUGGGGAGCAAA
Molecule: ribosomal RNA, 251 nt
Filed under: uncultured bacterium
Lineage: Bacteria
Description: partial 16S ribosomal RNA
Rfam family: Bacterial small subunit ribosomal RNA
Source: RNAcentral